UUUUUCUUGGGCUUUCCAUGUAAUGCAUGAUUUUCCAUCUUGUACCCACGGUGAAGGCGCGAAAGCCGUUGCUUGUUAGUGCUUGAGUUUGAUUGCAAACUCAAAGUAAAGAAACCUUUCGAGCUGUAGUUUGACAGCGAUAGGGCUUAGGGCCAGCAGAACUCUUUCCUUCAUUGUGGUGCCCCCUCUAUCCGAGUGGGAGGCCCAUACCGCGCUGAGGAAAGAAUGACACUUUACAAGACCAUU
This 246-nucleotide long non-coding RNA is filed under the name Carica papaya (papaya). Its description in RNAcentral is "long non-coding RNA (CPAP_LNC000122)". Lineage: Eukaryota; Viridiplantae; Streptophyta; Magnoliopsida; Brassicales; Caricaceae. The record is from RNAcentral.